This 135-nucleotide ribosomal RNA is filed under the name Triticum aestivum (bread wheat). RNAcentral's name for it is "partial small subunit ribosomal RNA". The record is from RNAcentral. Lineage: Eukaryota; Viridiplantae; Streptophyta; Magnoliopsida; Poales; Poaceae.
AUGAGCUGCACUAGAAUUUCUGGCUUGGCCCGUGGGUUGGAGGCGCUUCACUGUGUACGAAGUUCCCCAAUGUGUUCGCUAUGUGCUCGAAUCCUCAAUGCCAUUAGUUUCCACGGCGCCCAAAGUGGCCAGUAG